This 295-nucleotide ribosomal RNA is filed under the name uncultured Thermovirga sp. Its description in RNAcentral is "partial 16S ribosomal RNA". It matches the Rfam family "Bacterial small subunit ribosomal RNA", at positions 1089 to 1382 of the family's 1533-position model. Lineage: Bacteria; Thermotogati; Synergistota; Synergistia; Synergistales; Thermovirgaceae. The record is from RNAcentral.
AUAACGAGCGCAACCCUAUCAUUAGUUGCCAUCAGGUCAAGCUGGGGACUCUAAUGAAACUGCCUACGCAAGUAGUGAGGAAGGUGGGGAUGACGUCAAAUCAGCACGGCCCUUACGUCCAGGGCUACACACGUGCUACAAUGGCCGGCACAGCGGGAAGCGGAGGGGCGACCCUGAGCGGAUCCCUUGAAAGCCGGUCCCAGUUCGGAUUGCAGUCUGCAACUCGACUGCAUGAAGUUGGAAUCGCUAGUAAUCGCGGAUCAGCCAAGCCGCGGUGAAUACGUUCCCGGGCCUU